AAAGGUGAAAAGCACCCCGGGAGGGGAGUGAAAGAGUUCCUGAAACCGUGCGCCUACAAUCCGUCGGAGCCUCCUUGUGGGGUGACGGCGUGCCUAUCGAAAAAUGAGUCUGCGAGUCAGUGGCGGGUGGCGAGCAUAAGCCGUGUGGCGUAUGCGUAGCGAAAGCGAGUCUUAAAAGGCGUUUUUAGUCGCUUGUCCUGGACCCGAAGCGGGAUGAUCUAGCCCUGGGCAGGUUGAAGCGCGGGUAAGACCGCGUGGAGGACCGAACCCACCUGGGUUGAAAACCGGGGGGAUGACCUGGGGCUAGGGGUGAAAGGCCAAUCAAAUUCCGUGAUAGCUGGUUCUCUCCGAAAUGCAUUUAGGUGCAGCGUCGGUUGAUUGCAUCGCGGGGGUAGAGCUACUGGAUGCUUGCGGGCCCGUGUCGGGUACCAAUAGCAGCCAAACUCCGAAUACCGUGGAUGUGUAUUCCGGCAGUGAGUCGGCGGGGGAUAAGCUCCGUCGUCGAGAGGGAGACAGCCCAGACCGUCGUCUAAGGUCCCGAAGCGUGUGCUAAGUGGGAAAGGAUGUGGAGUCGCAUAGACAGCCAGGAGGUUGGCUCAGAAGCAGCCAUCCUUGAAAGAGUGCGUAACAGCUCACUGGUCUAGUGGUUCCGCGCCGACAAUGUAGCGGGGCUCAAGCACACCACCGAAGACGCGGCAGCAAUCUUCAUGGUUGCUGGGUAGGAGAGCGUCCUGCGAGGGGCGAAGCGGCCGGGUAACCGUGCCGUGGACUUCGUGGGAGUGAGAAUGCAGACAUGAGUAGCGAGAGACGGGUGAGGAUCCCGUCCGCUGGAUGACCAAGGGUUCCGGGGCCACGUUCGUCGUCCCCGGGUGAGUCGGGUCCUAAGGCGAGGCCGACAGGCGUAGUCGAAUGGAUGAACGGGUGGAUAUUCCCGUACCGACCAUGGACCGGCAAAACCGAGACGGUGAGUACUAACCUCCGCCUCGUGGUGGUUCCUUCCUUCGGGUUGGUAUCGCCGCGUGGUGUUGGGACUGUAGCCGCAGUAGGUCAGCGCAGGGGUGACACGGAAUGGGAGCCGGCCGCGGAGGUGGUUUUCCGUGGUCAAGCACGCAGCCCGUCCCAUAGGCAAAUCCGUGGGACGCAUAGGGUGAGGUGUGAUGAUGGGCGCCUUUUUGGCGCGAUAUCCGGUGGUCCAGGCCGUCGAGAAAAGCCUCGGCGUGAGGGCCAUGGCCGCCCGUACCCCAAACCGACACUGGUGGUCAGGUAGAGAAUACCAAGGCGAUCGAGCGAAUCCUGGUCAAGGAACUCGGCAAAUCACUCCCGUGCCUUCGGUAUAAGGGAGACCCGCUGGGGUGAACCGGCUAGCCCGGGGAGCUUUGGUGGGUGGCACAGACCAGGGGGUAGCGACUGUUUACCAAAAACACAGGUGCAUGCGAAGGCGAAAGCCGCUGUAUAUGCACUGACGCCUGCCCGGUGCCGGAAGGUUAAGAGGAUCCGUCAGCCCCUUUUGGGGUGAAGCGGUGAAUUCAAGCCCCGGUAAACGGCGGUGGUAACUAUAACCAUCCUAAGGUAGCGAAAUUCCUUGUCGGGUAAGUUCCGACCUGCACGAAUGGCGUAACGACUUCCCCACUGUCUCGACCAGGAGCUCGGCGAAAUUGCAGUACGAGUAAAGAUGCUCGUUAAGCGCAGAAGGACGAAAAGACCCCGGGACCUUUACUAUACCUUGGUAUUGGCGUUAGGCGCGGAUUGUGUAGCAUAGGCGGGAGGCUUCGAAGCGGGUGCGCCAGCAUUCGUGGAGCCGCAAGGUGAAAUACCGCUCUGUUCUCGUUUGACGUCUCACCUCGAACAGUCAUCCUGUUCAGGGACAGUGCCUGGCGGGUAGUUUAACUGGGGCGGUUGCCUCCCAAAGAGUAACGGAGGCGCUCAAAGGUCCGCUCAGCCCGGUUGGCAAUCGGGUGGCGAGUGCAAGUGCACAAGCGGGCUUGACUGCGAGGACGACGGUCCGAGCAGGGACGAAAGUCGGAGAUAGUGAUCCGGUGCCGGCGCACGGGCGCGGCAUCGCUCAACGGAUAAAAGGUACCCCGGGGAUAACAGGCUGAUCAUUCCCAAGAGUCCAUAUCGACGGGAUGGUUUGGCACCUCGAUGUCGGCUCGUCGCAUCCUGGGGCUGGAGCAGGUCCCAAGGGUUCGGCUGUUCGCCGAUUAAAGCGGCACGCGAGCUGGGUUCAGAACGUCGUGAGACAGUUUGGUCUCUAUCCUCUGCGCUCGUUGGAAUCCUGAGGAGGCCUGCCCAUAGUACGAGAGGACCUGGGUGGACGAACCUCUGGUAUGCCGGUUGUCACGCCAGUGGCACG
Molecule: ribosomal RNA, 2353 nt
Filed under: metagenome
Description: bacterial LSU rRNA
Rfam family: Bacterial large subunit ribosomal RNA
Source: RNAcentral